GCUCUUAUCGUCUAAUGGUCAGGACAGUGCUUUUUCAGGGCAUCGACGUGAGUUCAAAUCUCACUAAGAGUA
This 72-nucleotide transfer RNA is filed under the name Porphyra purpurea. RNAcentral's name for it is "tRNA-Glu". It matches the Rfam family "tRNA". From Rfam's summary of the family: Transfer RNA (tRNA) molecules are approximately 80 nucleotides in length. Their secondary structure includes four short double-helical elements and three loops (D, anti-codon, and T loops). The record is from RNAcentral. Lineage: Eukaryota; Rhodophyta; Bangiophyceae; Bangiales; Bangiaceae.